Molecule: long non-coding RNA, 1801 nt
Organism: Amaranthus tricolor (Joseph's coat)
Lineage: Eukaryota; Viridiplantae; Streptophyta; Magnoliopsida; Caryophyllales; Amaranthaceae
Exons: 3
Source: RefSeq, a predicted model, not a curated record
AAAAUAAAAUAAAUAAAUAAAAGGUAAUAAAUUGGGAUUACUUGCAAAUUGCCAAUUUCCUAGUAAAAUGCAUCCCUAAAACGCAUCUUUCCAAACGUACCUGCAUUUUCAUAAACCACUAUCUUGAAAAAUCAGAAACUACCAUUUUCAUGAAGAUUUUUUCUCAAACGUCAUCUUGCAGACGCCUAUCUCGAAAAUUUUUCCAGUGCAGAACUCCUCUCUAACGCCAUCUUCAGCGGAUAGACUAACCUCUUUUCGACUUGCAUACUACCAUUGUUGAUUUGUAUCUCUUUCAAGCAAUGAAUGAGAGAAAAAAAAGCUAAUGCAGAAUUGUUGGACAAGUUGCUAAGGAUCAGACAGAAGAUGGCGAAACAAGUGGCUGUUAAGGAACAAAUACAAAUGUCACAAGUUUUAAACACAAGCAAUGAAAAGCAAUUAUGAUGACCCAAUUGGUUGUGUGUAGCUGGUACUCUAACUGGACUGGUUGUGUAUUGCUGGACAUAAAAUAACUCAUGUGUUGCUGGCUUAUUGUGCAAACUAAGUCGUGUGUAUGUUCAAACUACUGCCACUGCCUAAUGUUGCUGAGGGUAUAAUCCAACUCAUAAUUACUACUACUGUACUGAUCUUUAUUUCGUUAAUAGAACGUUAUUUUCCAUAAUAAUAAUAAUAAUAAUAAUUAUUAUUAUUAUUAUUAUUAUUUGCAAUAAUAAUAGCUUUGACAAAUGACAGCAAUUAUAAUAUUUAAAAUAAAAAUAAAAUAAUAUUAAAUUUGCCGCUAAAAUUGGUCGAAAGUUAGUUAAUAGCUUUAAUCCCCGCGCUUACGUAGAAAACUCAUGAAAAAACUAACAUACUUGUGCCAAUUUCCUACGCUUACAAGUGAGGUGAUAUUUCAUCACUUAUAAGUGUGGGUAAAGGUGCAUUUAGCCACACUUAUAAGCGUAACAAAAUCCAUAAUUAGCCACACUUACUAUGUGUGCUUAAUUUUCCCACCACUUUUUAGACCACACUUAUUUAAGUGUGGGAAAAUAUUUUAGGCACACUUAAUAAGUGUGGGCAAUUGCAUUUUCAAGUGAGGCUACAAGCAACAUUUUUUGUAGUGUAUGGUUGUUGAAUCUCAAGCAACCAUGUGAAUAGCAAAGAGAGGGAGAAGAGAAAAAAUAUAGAAUAAGAGAAGAAUAUUGUUUUAUUUCAUUAUAUAUCAUAAACUUUAAUGCCCAAUAUUAUUGUUGUUGAAUCUCCAACAACCAUGUGAAUAGGAAAGAGAGGGAAGAGAAAAAAUUUAGAAGAGGAGAAGAAUAUUGUUUUAUUUCAUUACGUUUUGUAAACUCUAAUGCGUCUUAAUGUCCCCUUUUAUACUAAUAAAAUUAUCAGAAACACCCACUUAUAACUAAUUACAAUCUUACUACCAAAUAUACUUGCUUGAUUUUCCAUAAUAAUUAACAUUCAACAUAUAUACAACUACAUAAUUUUAUAGCUACAUAUUAUUCAAUCAGUAAGUUAGAUAUUUAAGCCUUAUUUAUUUACUAUUUUUUAAAAAAUCAAAAGCCUAAAAUUUAAAUAAUAAUUAAGCUGAAGUAAAAAUAACAAUUUAUAAAUUUCUAUAAACUAAUAUUUGAGGCAAACCAAUUUAAGGAGUCCUAUAUAACUGUUUACCUUGUAGAUACUCUGAAAUGUCCUUGAUUGUAAGGUAGAUAACUUGAAUGAGUCCCACCUUACUAAAAUAUGUAUAAAUCUAGUUCAAUAUGAAAAAUAAGGAUUUUGGAUAUUGAAGAAUAAUCCAGCAUUUCUUUAAUGUACUCUU